AUAAAAACUUUUGAACUUUAUGAGCACGCGUUUACGCAUGUUUAAGCGUCAGUUGCAAAACUUAGAAAACUAAACGAACUUGCUCAUCAAAUGGAAGUUGAUACCAAUAGCAGUAAUAGUAAUAGAGUAGAUUGUUCUAAUGAAGAUAUGCCUAGUACCAGUAGAGUACUAUUAACCAUUUUAUUAAGUAGUGUAUUAAAUGAAAUUGAAGUAGAUGUAAAUAUAAAACACAUUAGUUAUAAAUAUUUUUGUAUUCCUUUUGGAGGAAAAUACUUACUUUUACCUAUAAUACAUCACCUUUUUAACGAUUUUUUAAGAUAAUAAUAUUAAAUGGAGUCGGAUCAGGAUAUAUUCAGCGAAAUAUGUUCAGAAGUGGAAUUAAGUCAGUGGCAAGAAAAUGACGGUACAGUUUUAUAUAUGUACUUUUAGGAAAUAAAGAUUCGAAAGCGUUAAUUUGGGGUGGAAUGUCCCCAUGACGAGCGCCAUUCACCAAAAAAGCCUGCAUCUUCCCAAACAUGUGUCGUCAUCUAAAGGCAGACACGCGGCAAUAAUAGCUGAAUUAAACGCUAUCCAGAAAUGCCACAACCAAAUAUUGGCGAAACUGGACAGCAUCGACACCCGUCAACUGGGCGUUGUUAGCCAAAUGCCGGAACGUGGUGAGGUGCAAGCGCAAAGUAAGCUGUUGCACGAAUGCAAAGUGCUGAGAGGGUUCAACAGUCUGUUAGUCGCAUCACUGUGGAAAGCGAGGAGUCCAUGGAACUUGCUGCUAUGAUUCCCGUAUUAUCGGUGGAGCAAGUGCAGACUGUUGAAGCCAAGUUGAAAAACAAAGCUUACGCCGACGCCAUGGUAACAUAAUAAAGUGAAUGCUAGUAUAACACUGUGGAACAAAUUCAGAUUAGGCUUCUGGCAAGAUCAAAAGGCAGGAAAGGAACGGUUGACGGGGUUAUGCGUUACCUAUUGACAGAUGACGCUAUGUACAGCUUUAACUUAGAAGGAAGAGCAGGCAAGAUUCCAUUUCUUAGACUUAAGGCGGUUGAACUUAUAUUUGAAAAAGCAAAAUAAGAUAUCCAAGGCGCUAUAAGAAAAUAUGUUAGUUUAAACCACAAUAGAUGCAACCAAAAAAACUAUAAUAGAAGAAAAACUUUAAAUCUGUAAAUA
Molecule: RNA transcript, 1158 nt
Organism: Anastrepha ludens (Mexican fruit fly)
Lineage: Eukaryota; Metazoa; Arthropoda; Insecta; Diptera; Tephritidae
Exons: 5
Source: RefSeq, a predicted model, not a curated record